Molecule: small nuclear RNA, 22 nt
Filed under: Arabidopsis thaliana (thale cress)
Lineage: Eukaryota; Viridiplantae; Streptophyta; Magnoliopsida; Brassicales; Brassicaceae
Description: snRNA_06208
Source: RNAcentral
UAAUCCCCCCAUGCCCGAAACC